UACGUAGGCAGCAAGCGUUGUUCGGAGUUACUGGGCGUAAAGGGUGUGUAGGCGGUUGUUUAAGUUUGGUGUGAAAUCUCCCGGCUCAACUGGGAGGGUGCGCCGAAUACUGAAUGACUAGAGUGCAGGAGAGGAAAGUGGAAUUCCUGGUGUAGCGGUGAAAUGCGUAGAUAUCAGGAGGAACACCGGUGGUGUAGACGGCUUUCUGGACCGUAACUGACGCUGAGACACGAAAGCGUGGGUAGCAAACAGG
This 253-nucleotide ribosomal RNA is filed under the name uncultured bacterium. RNAcentral's name for it is "partial 16S ribosomal RNA". It matches the Rfam family "Bacterial small subunit ribosomal RNA", at positions 524 to 776 of the family's 1533-position model. The record is from RNAcentral.